GCCGCCGUAGUUCAAUGGAUAGAACGGGGACCUCCUAAGUCUCAGAUGUGGGUUCGAUUCCCGCCGGGGCGCCA
RNAcentral lists this transfer RNA (74 nucleotides) under Rubrivivax sp. Its description in RNAcentral is "tRNA-Arg". It matches the Rfam family "tRNA". From Rfam's summary of the family: Transfer RNA (tRNA) molecules are approximately 80 nucleotides in length. Their secondary structure includes four short double-helical elements and three loops (D, anti-codon, and T loops). Further hydrogen bonds mediate the characteristic L-shaped molecular structure. tRNAs have two regions of fundamental functional importance: the anti-codon, which is responsible for specific mRNA codon recognition, and the 3' end, to which the tRNAs corresponding amino acid is attached (by aminoacyl-tRNA synthetases). tRNAs cope with the degeneracy of the genetic code in two manners: having more than one tRNA (with a specific anti-codon) for a particular amino acid; and 'wobble' base-pairing, i.e. permitting non-standard base-pairing at the 3rd anti-codon position. The record is from RNAcentral. Lineage: Bacteria; Pseudomonadati; Pseudomonadota; Betaproteobacteria; Burkholderiales; Sphaerotilaceae.